This is a long non-coding RNA of Poecilia latipinna (sailfin molly), 848 nucleotides long. RefSeq lists it as uncharacterized. The transcript has 2 exons. NCBI's taxonomy places the organism in Eukaryota, Metazoa, Chordata, Actinopteri, Cyprinodontiformes, Poeciliidae. The record is from RefSeq and is a predicted model, not a curated record.
AAGGGACACAGACUGAUCCAUCAGGGCGGGGUGGAUGAGUGGGAGGGGGUGGUAGACAUUUCUGCAAGGCAUGACUGGAAUAAAGGAGGAGGAGGUGUGCGUCCGUGUGUGUGUGUGUUCUGAAGGGAAGGGAGGCAGAAGAGGGUAAAGAGGGGAGGAUGUUUGCCCGUCCUGGUGGAUUGUGCAGGAGACUGCUCCCAAAUCCAAUUAAUUCCUGCUGGAUGCGUUCAUUUGUCUCGUGCAUCUGACGAGGAAGACACAGAGAGGGACCCCUAAGGAGGCCGGGGUCGUCUUCUUUCCAACUUUCCCUCUGACAUCCCGGGCCUGGUAAUGAGAAAGAGACGAGGCGCGGGCACCGACGACGACACGUCGGCCCCCGCCGCAUGUCUGCCAUAAGCCUCGCAUCAGGCUUGAAGGAGCAUGUGAGGCGUCCCUGUUUUCUAAAGUCCUACGAGUCGGUGGAAAUAAAGGGACGCGGACGCCACGCUGCCACUCUGACCCACAUAACAACACGCGCGUCAGCGUUCGGUGCCCUUAACCUUCAUGCCUGAUUACUGCAGUUUGUUUAUGUCCUGGCUGAACCUGAGUGAGUCUGACAAGAUCGAGUCAAGGUGUCUGCUUGGAAUAGAGGCCAAAAAGGAAAACAGCUCCCACACAACACGUGUGCGUGCCUGUGUGUGUGCUCAUUCCAGAGGAAAAUAACAGGUUUACUAUAAAUUAAGUAAUUAAAAAGAAGAGUUGAUUUGAAGUCAAUUCAGUUUUUAACGACACUGUGCUUCAAGAUUCUAAUCACACCUUGUGGCUAUACACUCACUGGAAACAUUAUUAAAUACAAGGUGCAAAGUAAA